Molecule: long non-coding RNA, 262 nt
Organism: Medicago truncatula (barrel medic)
Lineage: Eukaryota; Viridiplantae; Streptophyta; Magnoliopsida; Fabales; Fabaceae
Exons: 2
Source: RefSeq, a predicted model, not a curated record
CUAAAACCUAGGAAAUGAUCAAACAAUUUUCUAUUUAUUACAUUUAAAGGAGAAGAAACAUGACUACAUUUCUCAAAGUUGCUUAUAUUAUGAUCAUAUGUGUCUUUGUGCUUCACCUUGCAGCCCAAGUUGAUUCACAAAAAAGAUUACAUGGAUGCAAGGAAGACAGAGAUUGUGAUAACAUCUGCUCCGUACAUGCUGUUACAAAGUGCAUUGGGAAUAUGUGUCGCUGCUUAGCCAAUGUAAAAUAAAUGAAUUGUAA